RNAcentral lists this ribosomal RNA (492 nucleotides) under uncultured bacterium. RNAcentral describes it as "bacterial SSU rRNA". It matches the Rfam family "Bacterial small subunit ribosomal RNA", at positions 28 to 514 of the family's 1533-position model. The record is from RNAcentral.
GAUGAACGCUAGCGGCAGGCUUAACACAUGCAAGUCGAGGGGCAGCGCGAUGUAGCAAUACAUUGGCGGCGACCGGCGCACGGGUGCGUAACACGUAUGGAAUCUGCCCUGUACUGGAAGAUAACCCGGCGAAAGUCGGACUAAUAUCCCAUAAUAGCCGAGGUGGCAUCACCUUGGUUUGAAAGCUCCGGCGGUACAGGAUGACCAUGCGCACGAUUAGCUAGUUGGUGAGGUAACGGCUCACCAAGGCUACGAUCGUUAGGGGGCCUGAGAGGGUUAUCCCCCACACUGGUACUGAGACACGGACCAGACUCCUACGGGAGGCAGCAGUGAGGAAUAUUGCGCAAUGGAGGCAACUCUGACGCAGCCAUGCCGCGUGCAGGAAGAAGGCGCUACGCGUUGUAAACUGCUUUUAUCCGGGAAGAAACCCCAGGACGUGUCCUGGGUUGACGGUACCGGAGGAAUAAGCACCGGCUAACUUCGUGCCAGCAG